UUUUAUGGUGGCCGUGCGCAGGGCGCCUUCGAGCGCGCCGGGUUCCUGGUUUCUCCGGUCGACUAACCUGCGUACGGCUGCCACCCAU
RNAcentral lists this non-coding RNA (88 nucleotides) under Pseudomonas lundensis. Lineage: Bacteria; Pseudomonadati; Pseudomonadota; Gammaproteobacteria; Pseudomonadales; Pseudomonadaceae. The record is from RNAcentral.